GACGAACGCUGGCGGCGUGCUUAACACAUGCAAGUCGAACGGAAAGGCCCUGCUUUUGUGGGGUGCUCGAGUGGCGAACGGGUGAGUAACACGUGAGUAACCUGCCCUUGACUUUGGGAUAACUUCAGGAAACUGGGGCUAAUACCGGAUAGGAGCUCCUGCUGCAUGGUGGGGGUUGGAAAGUUUCGGCGGUUGGGGAUGGACUCGCGGCUUAUCAGCUUGUUGGCGGGGUAGUGGCUUACCAAGGCUUUGACGGGUAGCCGGCCUGAGAGGGUGACCGGCCACAUUGGGACUGAGAUACGACCCAGACUCCUACGGGAGGCAGCAGUGGGGAAUAUUGCACAAUGGGCGGAAGCCUGAUGCAGCAACGCCGCGUGCGGGAUGACGGCCUUCGGGUUGUAAACCGCUUUCGCCUGUGACGAAGCGUGAGUGACGGUAAUGGGUAAAGAAGCACCGGCUAACUACGUG
This 468-nucleotide ribosomal RNA is filed under the name uncultured bacterium. RNAcentral describes it as "partial 16S ribosomal RNA". It matches the Rfam family "Bacterial small subunit ribosomal RNA", at positions 28 to 507 of the family's 1533-position model. The record is from RNAcentral.